This 1039-nucleotide long non-coding RNA is filed under the name Carica papaya (papaya). RNAcentral's name for it is "long non-coding RNA (CPAP_LNC006072)". Lineage: Eukaryota; Viridiplantae; Streptophyta; Magnoliopsida; Brassicales; Caricaceae. The record is from RNAcentral.
UUUCUUCUUUUUUUUUCCUUCACUUUUCUAUUAUUUAAAUAUUUAUAUAUAUAUAUACAUGUAUAUAUGUUUGCCAGGAUCUAUUAUUUAAUAUUAUAUAUAUACAUAUAUAUAUGUUUGCCACCUGGAUAUUACAUUAAUCUUUUCUUCAGUUGUAUUAUUUAUUUUAAAUGUCUUAAAAACCUUGUCAUUUACGGUUGCCCCAUAAUUAUAUUUUCGUCAUGAAAGACACACAAAAGGAGUGUUUGUAGGCACUAAAUUUACCCACUGCAUUGAAUUAUGUUAUCAUAGCUUUGGUUAAAUUAAGUUAUGAGUGCAUAUAUGAGAGGACGUGAUAGCACACAAUUUCUAUCAAUCCAUGUAUAAUAUAAACGCACAAAUAUUAUGCAAUAUAUCAUAAAGAGAGAACAGAGUCCAAGAAAUAGCCUUGCUUUCCUAAUUCUCUUACUAAGACAUGACUGCAAUCCAUUGAACUUCACAUUACAAUGUUUCUACUAAAAAAGAAAAACUCAUGUAUUCCCAAAAGCCUUCUUUGUCAGAAAUUUUGAAGACUCAAAAGCUUUCUUUGUCAGAAAUUUUGAAGACUGGCCCCAAAGUAAAUAGUUUAUUUUUAAAUAAACCUUGAAAGACUGAACAAUUAACUAUUGUUUUGCUAAAUUAGACAACUCAUGAGAAAAACGCACUUUUUCAAAAAUUUUAACACCUUAUAUAAGGUAUUAAUCACCUAAUAAUAAUAAAUCAAUCAAGGAAACAAUAUUAAAAAUAAUAAAAUUAUAAGUUCAUACAAUAAAAAAAUAUGGAGAUAUAUCAAAGUUAGAGGAGAAUGUAUAAACUUCUUUUUCUAUACUUGUUAUUUAAAUACUAUAGAGAUACUUUAAAUAUAUAUAAAGCUGAUGACAUUAUUUUAUCAUGUAUUUAUUAAAUUGAUUUAUAUUAAAUUGAAUUUAGUUACAUUUAAUCUAAAUGUAAAAAUAUUUAUGAUAAUCAAUUACUCGUUUUACUUAAAAUUUUCAUUGAACUUGUUUUAUCGCCUUUAUGU